GAUGAACGCUGGCGGCGUGCUUAACACAUGCAAGUCGAACGAAGAAGAGUUGAAUGAGAGCUUCGGCAGGAUUUCUUCUCAUCUUAGUGGCGGACGGGUGAGUAACGUGUGGGCAACCUGCCCUAUACUGGGGAAUAAUCACUGGAAACGGUGACUAAUACCGCAUGUCAUCACUAAAGGGCAUCCUUCGGUGAAAAAAGGAGUAAUUCGGUAUAGGAUGGGCCCGCAUCUGAUUAGCUAGUUGGUGAGAUAACAGCCCACCAAGGCGACGAUCAGUAGCCGGACUGAGAGGUUGGCCGGCCACAUUGGGACUGAGACACGGCCCAGACUCCUACGGGAGCAGCAGUGGGGAAUAUUGGGCAAUGGGCGCAAGCCUGACCCAGCAACGCCGCGUGAAGGGAGAAGGCUUUCGGGUUGUAAACUUCUUUUGUCAGGGACGAACAAAUGACGGUACCUGACGAAUAAGCCACGGCUAACUACGUGCCAGCAGCCGCGGU
This 497-nucleotide ribosomal RNA is filed under the name uncultured bacterium. Its description in RNAcentral is "bacterial SSU rRNA". It matches the Rfam family "Bacterial small subunit ribosomal RNA", at positions 28 to 521 of the family's 1533-position model. The record is from RNAcentral.